UACAGAGGGUGCAAGCGUUGUCCGGAAUCACUGGGCGUAAAGGGCGCGUAGGCGGCCCGAUAAGUAGGGGGUGAAAUCUUGCGGCUCAACCGCAAGGCUGCCUUCUAGACUGUCGGGCUUGAGCACAGUAGAGGCAGGUGGAAUUCCCGGUGUAGCGGUGGAAUGCGCAGAUAUCAGGAGGAACACCGAUAGCGAAGGCAGCUCGCUGGGACGGUACUGACGCUGAGGCGCGAAAGCGUGGGGAGCGAACAGG
This 253-nucleotide ribosomal RNA is filed under the name uncultured bacterium. RNAcentral's name for it is "partial 16S ribosomal RNA". It matches the Rfam family "Bacterial small subunit ribosomal RNA", at positions 524 to 776 of the family's 1533-position model. The record is from RNAcentral.